AGAGUUUGAUCCUGGCUCAGGAUGAACGCUAGCGGCAGGCCUAACACAUGCAAGUCGAACGGUAACAUGAAGUGCUUGCACUUUGAUGACGAGUGGCGCACGGGUGCGUAACGCGUAUACAAUCUACCUUUUACAGGGGGAUAGCCCAGAGAAAUUUGGAUUAAUACCUCAUAGUAUUGAGAAUUGGCAUCGAUUUUCACUUAAAGUUUCGGUGGUAAAAGAUGAGUAUGCGUUCUAUUAGCUGGUAGGUAGGGUAACGGCUUACCUAGGCAACGAUAGAUAGGGGCCCUGAGAGGGGGAUCCCCCACACUGGUACUGAGACACGGACCAGACUCCUACGGGAGGCAGCAGUGAGGAAUAUUGGACAAUGGGCGCAAGCCUGAUCCAGCCAUGCCGCGUGCAGGAAGACUGCCCUAUGGGUUGUAAACUGCUUUUAUACAGGAAGAAACAGCUCUACGCGUAGAGCCUUGACGGUACUGUAAGAAUAAGGAUCGGCUAACUCCGU
RNAcentral lists this ribosomal RNA (505 nucleotides) under uncultured bacterium. Its description in RNAcentral is "bacterial SSU rRNA". It matches the Rfam family "Bacterial small subunit ribosomal RNA", at positions 8 to 506 of the family's 1533-position model. The record is from RNAcentral.